UACGGGGGGUGCAAACGUUGCUCGGAAUUAUUGGGCGUAAAGCGCACGUAGGCGGCAUGGUAAGUCGGAUGUGAAAGCCCUCGGCUCAACCGAGGAAGUGCAUUCGAAACUACCAAGCUUGAGUAUGGGAGAGGAUCGCGGAAUUCCCGGUGUAGAGGUGAAAUUCGUAGAUAUCGGGAGGAACACCAGUGGCGAAGGCGGCGAUCUGGACCAAUACUGACGCUGAGGUGCGAAAGCGUGGGGAGCAAACAGG
RNAcentral lists this ribosomal RNA (253 nucleotides) under uncultured bacterium. RNAcentral's name for it is "partial 16S ribosomal RNA". It matches the Rfam family "Bacterial small subunit ribosomal RNA", at positions 524 to 776 of the family's 1533-position model. The record is from RNAcentral.